RNAcentral lists this ribosomal RNA (253 nucleotides) under uncultured bacterium. RNAcentral's name for it is "partial 16S ribosomal RNA". It matches the Rfam family "Bacterial small subunit ribosomal RNA", at positions 524 to 776 of the family's 1533-position model. The record is from RNAcentral.
UACGUAGGGUGCGAGCGUUGUCCGGAAUUAUUGGGCGUAAAGGGCUCGUAGGCGGUCUGUUGCGUCGGGAGUGAAAACUCAGGGCUUAACCCUGAGCCUGCUUCCGAUACGGGCAGACUAGAGGUAUGCAGGGGAGAACGGAAUUCCUGGUGUAGCGGUGAAAUGCGUAGAUAUCAGGAGGAACACCGGUGGCGAAGGCGGGUCUCUGGGCCGAAACUGACGCUGAGGAGCGAAAGCGUGGGGAGCAAACAGG